GCCUUAUCAAGAGUGGCGGAGGGAACGGCCCGAUGAAGCCCGGCAACCUGCGGUGAAGCGCAAGGUGCCAAAUCCGGCGGCAGUGAUCGAAAGAUGAGGA
Intestinimonas butyriciproducens is the source of this 100-nucleotide regulatory RNA element. It matches the Rfam family "SAM riboswitch aptamer (S box leader)". Rfam says of the family: The SAM riboswitch is found upstream of a number of genes which code for proteins involved in methionine or cysteine biosynthesis in Gram-positive bacteria. The SAM riboswitch acts at the level of transcription termination control. Lineage: Bacteria; Bacillati; Bacillota; Clostridia; Eubacteriales. The record is from Rfam.